This is a non-coding RNA of Danionella cerebrum, 68 nucleotides long. The record is from the annotation of a GenBank genome assembly. NCBI's taxonomy places the organism in Eukaryota, Metazoa, Chordata, Actinopteri, Cypriniformes, Danionidae.
UGCUCGUUGGUUUAGGGGUAUGAUUCACGCUUUGUCGAGAGGUCCGGGUUCAAAUCCCGGAUGAGCCC